CAAGAAUAAGGGAGAGAGAUCCAGGAAGAGCUCCCCUCCACUGGCUUCCCCGCCCUCCUCCCAGUAAUCACGCCUCCUCCCAAGCGUCCCAACCGUGGUCGGGUCACUGGGUUCGGCGCUGGUCCUGGUCUUGGUCCAGACCCUCCCAUGGCGUCGACGGAGCAGGAGGUGGCGGUCGACGCGGCCGCCGUCGUGGAGGAAGUGACGCGACAGCAGGGCAAAGGGUGCGGCGUCGCAGGAGGAGGGGAUACUGUUGUGUCCUCGAGGAACAUCGACAUUGCCUGGAGCAAGGCGGAUGAAGCUGAAGUGACAAGUUGGAGAGGGCGAUGAUGAGUCACUCAGCUGAAUUACUCCGGGAUGGCAUAUCAUGGAGCAAAUAGGUCUUGAUUUUUCUCUAGAACCCACUGAAACAGUAAGAAUCAAUUACCUAGUUCUUCUUUCACAUUACGUAACUCUCUUUUUAAUUUGGGUGAUACUCGUCUUCUUAGCUAUAGACUGCUCCAGACUACAUUAGGAUGCUUGUUCAAACAACUCUCUCAGAUAAGAAACCCGAAGAAAUUCCAUCAGUUGUGGAAUCACUCUUGAGCAAAGUAAUUGAUGAAUUUGAGUGCCGUAUUACUAGCCAGAGUGAAUUGGUAUAUUCACUUCUUUCACCAGCCUCACAAUUCCUGCUGCGCAUUUUUAGUUUUGACUAACCAACCAUACCACAGUUGGACUAAUAAAGACUAUGGAAC
Long non-coding RNA from Zea mays, 734 nucleotides. RefSeq lists it as uncharacterized. The transcript is spliced from 3 exons. The record is from RefSeq and is a predicted model, not a curated record. Lineage: Eukaryota; Viridiplantae; Streptophyta; Magnoliopsida; Poales; Poaceae.